Molecule: ribosomal RNA, 484 nt
Filed under: uncultured bacterium
Lineage: Bacteria
Description: partial 16S ribosomal RNA
Rfam family: Bacterial small subunit ribosomal RNA
Source: RNAcentral
AUUGAACGCUGGCGGCAGGCCUAACACAUGCAAGUCGAGCGGAUGACGGGAGCUUGCUCCUUGAUUCAGCGGCGGACGGGUGAGUAAUGCCUAGGAAUCUGCCUGGUAGUGGGGGAUAACGUCCCGAAACGGGCGCUAAUACCGCAUACGUCCUGAGGGAGAAAGCGGGGGAUCUUCGGACCUCACGCUAUCAGAUGAGCCUAGGUCGGAUUAGCUAGUUGGUGGGGUAAUGGCCUACCAAGGCGACGAUCCGUAACUGGUCUGAGAGGAUGAUCAGUCACACUGGAACUGAGACACGGUCCAGACUCCUACGGGAGGCAGCAGUGGGGAAUAUUGGACAAUGGGCGAAAGCCUGAUCCAGCCAUGCCGCGUGUGUGAAGAAGGUCUUCGGAUUGUAAAGCACUUUAAGUUGGGAGGAAGGGUAGUAAGUUAAUACUCUGCUGUUUUGACGUUACCAACAGAAUAAGCACCGGCUAACUUCGUG